RNAcentral lists this ribosomal RNA (2355 nucleotides) under human gut metagenome. RNAcentral's name for it is "bacterial LSU rRNA". It matches the Rfam family "Bacterial large subunit ribosomal RNA", at positions 591 to 2925 of the family's 2925-position model. The record is from RNAcentral.
GGGUGACUGCGUACCUUUUGUAUAAUGGGUCAGCGACUUAUAUUCUGUAGCAAGGUUAACCGUAUAGGGGAGCCGCAGGGAAACCGAGUCUUAACUGGGCGUUAAGUUGCAGGGUAUAGACCCGAAACCCGGUGAUCUAGCCAUGGGCAGGUUGAAGGUUGGGUAACACUAACUGGAGGACCGAACCGACUAAUGUUGAAAAAUUAGCGGAUGACUUGUGGCUGGGGGUGAAAGGCCAAUCAAACCGGGAGAUAGCUGGUUCUCCCCGAAAGCUAUUUAGGUAGCGCCUCGUGAAUUCAUCUUCGGGGGUAGAGCACUGUUUCGGCUAGGGGGUCAUCCCGACUUACCAACCCGAUGCAAACUACGAAUACCGAAGAAUGUUAUCACGGGAGACACACGGCGGGUGCUAACGUCCGUCGUGAAGAGGGAAACAACCCAGACCGCCAGCUAAGGUCCCAAAGUCAUGGUUAAGUGGGAAACGAUGUGGGAAGGCCCAGACAGCCAGGAUGUUGGCUUAGAAGCAGCCAUCAUUUAAAGAAAGCGUAAUAGCUCACUGGUCGAGUCGGCCUGCGCGGAAGAUGUAACGGGGCUAAACCAUGCACCGAAGCUGCGGCAGCGACACUAUGUGUUGUUGGGUAGGGGAGCGUUCUGUAAGCCGUUGAAGGUGGCCUGUGAGGGUUGCUGGAGGUAUCAGAAGUGCGAAUGCUGACAUAAGUAACGAUAAUGCGGGUGAAAAACCCGCACGCCGGAAGACCAAGGGUUCCUGUCCAACGUUAAUCGGGGCAGGGUGAGUCGACCCCUAAGGCGAGGCCGAAAGGCGUAGUCGAUGGGAAACAGGUUAAUAUUCCUGUACUUGGUGUUACUGCGAAGGGGGGACGGAGAAGGCUAUGUUGGCCGGGCGACGGUUGUCCCGGUUUAAGCAUGUAGGCGGAUGUUCCAGGUAAAUCCGGAGCGUCACUAACGCUGAGGUGUGAUGACGAGGCACUACGGUGCUGAAGUGACAAAUGCCCUGCUUCCAGGAAAAGCCUCUAAGCAUCAGGUAACAUCAAAUCGUACCCCAAACCGACACAGGUGGUCAGGUAGAGAAUACCAAGGCGCUUGAGAGAACUCGGGUGAAGGAACUAGGCAAAAUGGUGCCGUAACUUCGGGAGAAGGCACGCUGAUGGUAGGUGAAGUGACUUGCUCAUGGAGCUGAAAUCAGUCGAAGAUACCAGCUGGCUGCAACUGUUUAUUAAAAACACAGCACUGUGCAAACACGAAAGUGGACGUAUACGGUGUGACGCCUGCCCGGUGCCGGAAGGUUAAUUGAUGGGGUUAUCCUCGCGGAGAAGCUCUUGAUCGAAGCCCCGGUAAACGGCGGCCGUAACUAUAACGGUCCUAAGGUAGCGAAAUUCCUUGUCGGGUAAGUUCCGACCUGCACGAAUGGCGUAAUGAUGGCCAGGCUGUCUCCACCCGAGACUCAGUGAAAUUGAACUCGCUGUGAAGAUGCAGUGUACCCGCGGCAAGACGGAAAGACCCCGUGAACCUUUACUAUAGCUUGACACUGAACACUGGUCCUUGAUGUGUAGGAUAGGUGGGAGGCUUUGAAGUGUGGACGCCAGUCUGCAUGGAGCCAUCCUUGAAAUACCACCCUUUAAUGGCUGGUGUUCUAACGUGGGCCCGUGAUCCGGGUUGCGGACAGUGUCUGGUGGGUAGUUUGACUGGGGCGGUCUCCUCCUAAAGAGUAACGGAGGAGCACGAAGGUCAGCUAAUCCUGGUCGGACAUCAGGAGGUUAGUGCAAUGGCAUAAGCUGGCUUGACUGCGAGCGUGACGGCGCGAGCAGGUGCGAAAGCAGGUCAUAGUGAUCCGGUGGUUCUGAAUGGAAGGGCCAUCGCUCAACGGAUAAAAGGUACUCCGGGGAUAACAGGCUGAUACCGCCCAAGAGUUCAUAUCGACGGCGGUGUUUGGCACCUCGAUGUCGGCUCAUCACAUCCUGGGGCUGAAGUAGGUCCCAAGGGUAUGGCUGUUCGCCAUUUAAAGUGGUACGCGAGCUGGGUUUAGAACGUCGUGAGACAGUUCGGUCCCUAUCUGCCGUGGGCGCUGGAGAAUUGAGGGGGGCUGCUCCUAGUACGAGAGGACCGGAGUGGACGCAUCACUGGUGUUCGGGUUGUCAUGCCAAUGGCAUUGCCCGGUAGCUAAAUGCGGAAGAGAUAAGUGCUGAAAGCAUCUAAGCACGAAACUUGCCCCGAGAUGAGUUCUCCCUGACUCCUUGAGAGUCCUGAAGGAACGUUGAAGACGACGACGUUGAUAGGCCGGGUGUGUAAGCGCAGCGAUGCGUUGAGCUAACCGGUACUAAUGAACCGUGAGGCUUAACC